Brassica napus (rape) is the source of this 1940-nucleotide long non-coding RNA. RefSeq lists it as uncharacterized. Lineage: Eukaryota; Viridiplantae; Streptophyta; Magnoliopsida; Brassicales; Brassicaceae. The transcript has 4 exons. The record is from RefSeq and is a predicted model, not a curated record.
GUUAAACUGAUUACUAUAAUCCGAGCUUAUUAGGCCGAACUAAAAGUAUGUGCAAAACGUUUUCAAAUAGAUAUGAUUUUGUUUGAGCAAAAUCUUCUUAUUAGGCCGAAUCAGAUUUGGUCGUUGGCCCACUAGAUGAAACUCUCACCAGGAUACAUAGUUUUGAGAUAAAGAUUAUAGUUCUUUUUAUGCAAGAUUUGGUCCAAGCCUUCCCUCAGUAAUAUAGGGUCAAGGACCUUAAACUAGACAUAACGAAUUUACAUAGAAACAAUAUCGAUCAGAAACAUGUUGACAUUACAGAAGAAAACCUUAAUUAGACCUACCAACCCUUCCUGAUGAGUGACUAGUUAGGACCAAAUCAGUAAAGGUUAGGAGGAGACCAAUCAAAAUACGUGGCUAACCGGAAGUCCGCAUUGUUUUAUCGGCAAAUUCUAGUUUCAUUUUUACGUGUUUUCUAUACUUUUAGAUUCAUAUAUUUAUCGUGGUAAGGUUGGUUCAUAUUAACAUGUUGUGUUUAAAGUUUAAACACCUAACGUGCUAAUAAAACGGAAUCCAAUUCUAGGAAAAUUACGGACCAACAUUUUUUAAUUGUAUUAUUAUUUAAAUUAAUUAUUAGUGUGAAGUUUAAUUUACUUUAAUGAUGAUAUAUGAAUUAUUAGUUAUUACCAUAUUUUAUAAAAUUUACAAAACAUGAAUCUCUAUAAAGAAAACUUAUUUCAACAGUAAUACAUGAAUUAUUAAUUAUUAACAUAUUUUAAAAUUUUGUCAAAAAUAUGAAUGUUUAUAAAUAAAUUUGUACAUAUCAUAAUUAGGUUGAUCCAGUGUCAUAUUUUUUCUUUUUAAUAAUGAAUAUGAUGAUAAUACAUAAUCAAAUCACAAAUGUUAAGAGGGAUUUCAGAACAGCUUUUCAAAAUAAAAUUAUUUAUCAUGUAAAACAGAAGUAAAUGUAAAGAAAAUGAAAAAAAAUAAACAUAUCCAAUUAGGUAUUAUCAUUUCAUGUUUUUAUUUUUUAUUUGUAUUUGUUUUCGUUUAUCUCACUAUGUUAUAAGAAACUAGAGAAAAUAAAUUUAAUACUUUCACUCGUUUUGUAGUUGUUAAGUUGAAUGUCAUAUAAUCUAUCUAUCUAUCUAUUUAUAUAAAAAACUGUUUGCUCUCUCCAGGGCCCUCCACGUCAUCCUCCACGUAGGAAAGUCGUGCGUCUUGACGCCGCCACGUGUCAACCCACACGAAACGCGCCGUUUCAUUUAUUCUUCAGCUUAGUGGGCUUUUUCGGGUGUUCUGUAUCUGGGCUUUGGACUGUCGAUCUUAGUUCCUUAUCCGGCUCGAACGAACAGAAGACGCCUCUAACCCUAAUCAGCUUCAGACAAGAAACAAAGGUCCCAUCUCCGCAUCCUUCGACGGCAACUCGAUGUCGUUUCUGCUUUCUAUCACCAUCUGAAACAGUCCGAGUUAAGAGUUCAUGUUUAAUCCCAUCGAUUCGGUGUGCCCAGAAUUUCUUCCUUUAUAGAGAAGCUUUGCAAUUUGUUCUACAACAAAUUGUCUGAGUGUUUUUUACGCUCAAGCCAACCAUCUUAAGCAAAAGUUAUUGGCCGCGGAUGUGAAGCCUGAGGCUGGAUUUUCCUAAAUGCAAUUUCUGGCGCACAUAUAUACUUACUUUGACAAAGAAACAAGUGACAGUGACACCUUCUAGCCAGCUUUGGUAAUGGUGACUUAAUUAGCCUCUUCCACGAGUUCGAUCAAAUAUGGUGAUGAUAAUAAAAUAGAAACAGUAACAGUGUCAGAGAUCAACACCUAUAUGCUCAACUCUACACCUCAGAUCCAUUGCCUAUAUCUUUCCUAAUGCUUACUGUUUUCACAUUCAUUCAUUGUAGACGCCUAUAAAUACGUUGUACUUCAGGUUGUAGUGUUCUUUAUUCCUUAAAAAGGAACUUUUUAUUAGA